This 305-nucleotide ribosomal RNA is filed under the name uncultured bacterium. Its description in RNAcentral is "bacterial SSU rRNA". It matches the Rfam family "Bacterial small subunit ribosomal RNA", at positions 332 to 630 of the family's 1533-position model. The record is from RNAcentral.
UUUAGCCUACGGGACGCAGCAGUUAGGAAUAUUCGUCAAUGGGGGGAACCCUGAACGAGCAAUGCCGCGUGAGUGAUGAAGGUCUUAAUGAUUGUAAAACUCUGUUGCAAAGGAAGAACAGCUAUCAUAGGAAAUGAUGAUAGUGUGACGGUACUUUGCCAGAAAGCCCCGGCUAACUACGUGCCAGCAGCCGCGGUAAUACGUAGGGGGCAAGCGUUAUCCGGAUUUAUUGGGCGUAAAGCGUUCGUAGGCGGUUUGUUAAGUCUAAGAUUCAAGCCCGAGGCUCAACCUCGGUUCGUUUUAGA